Molecule: transfer RNA, 72 nt
Filed under: Candidatus Chisholmbacteria bacterium RIFCSPLOWO2_01_FULL_49_14
Lineage: Bacteria; Candidatus Chisholmiibacteriota
Description: tRNA-Lys
Rfam family: tRNA
About the family: Transfer RNA (tRNA) molecules are approximately 80 nucleotides in length. Their secondary structure includes four short double-helical elements and three loops (D, anti-codon, and T loops).
Source: RNAcentral
GGGCCCGUAGCUCAGCGGUAGAGCGGUUGCCUCUUAAGCAAUAGGUCGGAGGUUCGAAUCCUCCCGGGCUCA